RNAcentral lists this ribosomal RNA (359 nucleotides) under uncultured bacterium. RNAcentral describes it as "bacterial SSU rRNA". It matches the Rfam family "Bacterial small subunit ribosomal RNA", at positions 32 to 365 of the family's 1533-position model. The record is from RNAcentral.
AAUCAACGCUGGCGGCGUGCCUCAGACAUGCAAGUCGAACGCGAAAGUCCCCCUCGGGGACGAAGUAGAGUGGCGCACGGGUGAGUAACACGUAGGUAAUCUACCUUCGGGUGGGGAAGUAACAAUCGGAAACGGUUAGCUAAUAACCGCAUAAAUGCAGCGGCACCUAAUGGUGACAGUUGUUAAAGCGGGGGAGUCGCAAGAUCUCGCGCCUGAAGAGGAGCCUGCGGCGGAUAGUCUAGUUGGUAGGGUAAUGGCCUACCAAGGCGACGAUCCGUAGCCGGCCUGAGAGGGCGGUCGGCCACACUGACACUGACAUACGGGUCAGACUCCUACGGGAGGCAGCAGUCGGGAAUUUU